RNAcentral lists this ribosomal RNA (460 nucleotides) under uncultured bacterium. Its description in RNAcentral is "partial 16S ribosomal RNA". It matches the Rfam family "Bacterial small subunit ribosomal RNA", at positions 338 to 795 of the family's 1533-position model. The record is from RNAcentral.
CCUACGGGUGGCAGCAGUGAGGAAUAUUGGUCAAUGGGCGCGAGCCUGAACCAGCCAAGUCGCGUGAGGGAUGACGGCCCUACGGGUUGUAAACCUCUUUUGCCGGGGAGCAACGGGCGCCACGUGUGGCGCCCCUGAGAGUACCCGGAGAAAAAGCAUCGGCUAACUCCGUGCCAGCAGCCGCGGUAAUACGGAGGAAGCGUGCGUUAUCCGGGUUGAUUGGGUUUAAAGGGUGCGUAGGCGGGCUUUUAAGUCAGCGGUAAAAAUUGGGGGCUCAACCCCGUCCGGCCGUUGAAACUGGGGGCCUUGAGUGGGCGAGAAGAAGGCGGAAUGCGUGGUGUAGCGGUGAAAUGCAUAGAUAUCACGCAGAACCCCGAUUGCGAAGGCAGCCUUCCGGCGCCCUACUGACGCUGAGGCACGAAAGUGCGGGGAUCGAACAGGAUUAGAUACCCUUGUAGUC